Molecule: ribosomal RNA, 1241 nt
Filed under: Hyalessa maculaticollis
Lineage: Eukaryota; Metazoa; Arthropoda; Insecta; Hemiptera; Cicadidae
Description: 16S ribosomal RNA
Rfam family: Archaeal large subunit ribosomal RNA (bases 820-1189)
Source: RNAcentral
UAUAUUUUUUUUAAAAAUUAAAUAUGAUAAAUUUAUUUUAAUAAUAAAAAAAAUUUUUCAGUUUUAGUAAAUUUUAUUAAUAAAAUUUUAUUUUAAAUUCUGAGAAGAAAUAUUAUUUAUAUAUUAAAAAGUAUAAUGAUUUUUGUACCUUUUGUAUCAGGGUAAAUUAAGUAUAAAUAUAAAUUAUAUGUCUCCCGAAAUAUGAUGAAUUAAAAUAAUUUGUAAUUUAUUGUUAUAAAAAUAUUUAAAAAAUUGUUUUAGAAAUGAAAUUUUAUCGAAUUAUAUGAUAUCUGGUUUUUUAAGAAAUGAAUUUAAUUCAGGAUAAUUAUAUAAUUUAUAUUUUUAUAUAAAAUUACUUUAUUAUCUUAUUAUAAUAGGGAUUAGCCAAUUAUAAUUGUUUAUAUAAUUUUUUUAUAAUUUAAUUUGAUAAGCUUAAAAACAGCUAAAUUUAGAGUAAGUUAAAUUUUAUUAUUUAAUUAUAUGUAUUUAAAUAUAUAAUUAUUAAAUUUUUAUUUUUAAACUUAAUAUAAUAAAUUAUUAUAUUUAAUAUGAUUUUAUUAGUAUAAUUAUUAUAAAUUUAAUUUAUGAAUUAGGCAAUAUUAAUUUUCACCUGUUUAUCAAAAACAUGUCUUUUAGAAAAAAAUUGAAGGUCUAAUCUGCCCAAUGAUAAUUUAAUGGCCGCGGUAAACUGACCGUGCAAAGGUAGCAUAAUAACUAGUCUUUUAAUUGAAGGCUUGAAUGAAUGAUUAAAUGAAAAAUUGACUUUAUUAAUACAAAUUAUUAUAACUUAAUUUUUAAGUCAAAAAGCUUAGAUUCUUAAGUAGGACGAGAAGACCCUAUAGAGUUUAAAAAUAAUUUUAUUAAUUUAAUUUUAGUAUUUUUAUUUAAGUUAAUAAUAUUAUUUUUUUGUUGGGGUGACACUAUAAAAUAUAUAACUUAUGGUUUAUGAAACAUUUAUGUAUGUAUUAAUGAUCCAUUAAUUUAAAAUAAUGAUUAUAAGAAUAAAUUACCUUAGGGAUAACAGCGUUAUUAUCUUUUAGAGUUCAUAUUAAUAAGGUAGUUUGCGACCUCGAUGUUGGAUUAAGAAUAUAGUUUGGAGCAAAAACUAAACUUUUAGGUCUGUUCGACCUUUAAAUUCUUACAUGAUCUGAGUUCAGACCGGUGUAAACCAGGUCGGUUUCUAUCCACUUUAUUUUUAAUAAUAUUAGUACGAAAGGACCAUAUUAAUUAACUUAUAUUAU